RNAcentral lists this ribosomal RNA (253 nucleotides) under uncultured bacterium. RNAcentral's name for it is "partial 16S ribosomal RNA". It matches the Rfam family "Bacterial small subunit ribosomal RNA", at positions 524 to 776 of the family's 1533-position model. The record is from RNAcentral.
UACGUAGGGUGCAAGCGUUAAUCGGAAUUACUGGGCGUAAAGCGUGCGCGGGCGGUUUUGUAAGUCUGUCGUGAAAGCCCCGGGCUUAACCUGGGAAUUGCGAUGGAGACUGCAAGGCUUGAAUCUGGCAGAGGGGGGUAGAAUUCCACGUGUAGCAGUGAAAUGCGUAGAGAUGUGGAGGAACACCGAUGGCGAAGGCAGCCCCCUGGGUCAAGAUUGACGCUCAUGCACGAAAGCGUGGGGAGCAAACAGG